GCAUUUAUAGUUUAAUCGGUUAAAACAGUAACUUGUGGCGUUACAGAUUAGAGGUUCAAAUCCUUUUAUUUGCC
Molecule: transfer RNA, 74 nt
Filed under: Phaeocystis globosa
Lineage: Eukaryota; Haptophyta; Phaeocystales; Phaeocystaceae
Description: tRNA-His
Rfam family: tRNA
About the family: Transfer RNA (tRNA) molecules are approximately 80 nucleotides in length. Their secondary structure includes four short double-helical elements and three loops (D, anti-codon, and T loops). Further hydrogen bonds mediate the characteristic L-shaped molecular structure. tRNAs have two regions of fundamental functional importance: the anti-codon, which is responsible for specific mRNA codon recognition, and the 3' end, to which the tRNAs corresponding amino acid is attached (by aminoacyl-tRNA synthetases). tRNAs cope with the degeneracy of the genetic code in two manners: having more than one tRNA (with a specific anti-codon) for a particular amino acid; and 'wobble' base-pairing, i.e. permitting non-standard base-pairing at the 3rd anti-codon position.
Source: RNAcentral